GACGAACGCUGGCGGCGUGCUUAACACAUGCAAGUCGAACGGUGAAGGGGUCUGCUUUUGUGGGCCCUGGAUGAGUGGCGAACGGGUGAGUAACACGUGAGUAACCUGCCCCCUUCUUCUGGAUAACCGCAUGAAAGUGUGGCUAAUACGGGAUAUUCUGGGUCUGUCGCAUGAUGGGUCUGGGAAAGAUUGCGCCUUUGGGUGUUUUUGGUGGGGGAUGGGCUCGCGGCCUAUCAGCUUGUUGGUGGGGUGAUGGCCUUCCAAGGCGGUGACGGGUAGCCGGCCUGAGAGGGUGGACGGUCACACUGGGACUGAGACACGGCCCAGACUACUACGGGAGGCAGCAGUGGGGAAUAUUGCACAAGGGGCGCAAGCCUGAUGCAGCGACGCCGCGUGAGGGAUGGAGGCCUUCGGGUUGUAAACCUCUUUCGCCAGUGAAGCAGGCCUGCUCCUUGUGGGUGGGUUGACGGUAGCUGGAUAAGAAGCGCCGGCUAACUACGUG
Molecule: ribosomal RNA, 502 nt
Filed under: uncultured bacterium
Lineage: Bacteria
Description: partial 16S ribosomal RNA
Rfam family: Bacterial small subunit ribosomal RNA
Source: RNAcentral